UUUGAUCAUGGCUCAGAUUGAACGCUGGCGGGAUGCUUUGCAUGCGAGUCGGAGCAGGCAGCACCGGACUUCGGUCUGGUGGCGAGUGGCGAACGGGGGUGAGUAAUGUAUCAGACGUGCUAGUAGCGGGGAUAACUACGCGAAAGCGCAGCUAUUACUGCGCCCUUCGGGGAAAGCGGGGGACCUUCCGGGCCUCGCACUAUUAAACGGCCGAUAUCGGAUUAGCUAGUUGGUGGGGGUUAACGGCUCACCAAAAGGCGACGAUCAGCUGGUUUGAGGACGACAAACCACACUGGACUGAGACACGGCCAGACUCCUACGGGAGGCAGCAGUGGGAAUUUUUUGGACCAAUGGGGAAACCCUGAUCAAACCCGCGUGUACGAUGAAGGCCUUCGGGUUGUAUAAACACUUUUGGCGGGAAAGAAACGGCGCGGAUAGCUGAUACAGCGACAAUACCUGCAAGAAUAAGCACCGGCUAACUACGUGCCAGCAGCCGCGAUGACCGUAGAAGUGCAAGCGUUAAUCGAGAUUACUGGGCGUAAAGCGUAGAGGCGGUUCGAAAGAUGUGAAAUCCCCAGAGCUUAACUGGAACUGCAUUUUUAACUACCGAGCUGAGUGUGUCAGGGAGGUGGAAUUCCGCGUGUAGCAGUGAAAUGCGUAGAUAUGCGGAGGAACACCGAUGGCGACAGCCUGCAGGACUAACACUGACGCCUCAUGCACAGCGUGGGGAAUGACAAGAGUUAGAUACCCUGGUAGUCCACGCCCUAAAACGAUGUCAACUAGCUGUUGGGGCCUUCGGGCCUUGGUAUGCAACCGGCAGCGUAUGAGGUGGAAACCUGGGGGUACGGUCGCAAGAUUAAAACUCAAAGGAAUUGACGGGGACCGCACAAGCGGUGGAUGAUGUGGAUCAAUUCGAUGCAACAUGAAAAAGCCUUUACCCUUGACAUGUCUGGAAUCGAAGAGAUUUGGGGUAUCGCAAGGAACGGGAACACAGGUGCUGCAUGGCUGUCGUCAGCUCGUGUCGUGAGAUGUUGGGUUAAGUCCGCAACGGGCGCAACCCGCUUGCGUCAUUAGUUGCUACGAGGGCACUCCUAAUGAGACUGCCGGUGACAAACCGGAGGAAGGUGGAUGGCAUCCAGUCCUCAUGGCCCUUAUGGGUAGGGCUUCACACGUCAUACAAUGGUCGGGACAGAGGGUCGCCAACCCGCGAGGAGAUUAAUCCGAAGCCUCCGUAGUCCCGGAUCCGCAGUCUGCAACUCGACUGCGUGAAGUGGAAUCGCUAGUAAUCGCGGAUCAGCGUGUCGCGGUGAAUACGUUCUGGUCUUGUACACACCGCCCGUCACACCAUGGGAGUGGGUUUACCAGAAGUAGUUAGCCUAACCGUAAGGAGGCGAUUACCACGGUAGGAUUCAUGACUGGGGUGAAGUCGUAACAAGGUAA
RNAcentral lists this ribosomal RNA (1440 nucleotides) under uncultured Bordetella sp. RNAcentral describes it as "partial 16S-23S ribosomal RNA intergenic spacer". It matches the Rfam family "Bacterial small subunit ribosomal RNA". Lineage: Bacteria; Pseudomonadati; Pseudomonadota; Betaproteobacteria; Burkholderiales; Alcaligenaceae. The record is from RNAcentral.